Molecule: transfer RNA, 71 nt
Filed under: Kryptoperidinium foliaceum
Lineage: Eukaryota; Dinophyceae; Peridiniales; Kryptoperidiniaceae
Source: RNAcentral
CGCCGCCAUCUUCGUGGCCCGCUCGAUCAAGGUCGUGCCUCAGCAGCAUGCCUGGGUGGUCGAGCGCCUCG